AGAAUCAACGCUGGCGGCGUGCCUAACACAUGCAAGUCGCACGAGGAAAGGGAGCAAUCCCUGAGUACAGUGGCGCACGGGUGAGUAACACGUGAAUAAUCUACCUCCGAGUGGGGAAUAACUGAGAGAAAUCUUAGCUAAUACCGCAUAACACUUACGAGUCAAAGCAGCAAUGCGCUUGGAGAGGAGUUCGCGGCCGAUUAGUUAGUUGGCGGGGUAAUGGCCCACCAAGACGAUGAUCGGUA
This 245-nucleotide ribosomal RNA is filed under the name uncultured bacterium. Its description in RNAcentral is "partial small subunit ribosomal RNA". It matches the Rfam family "Bacterial small subunit ribosomal RNA", at positions 26 to 285 of the family's 1533-position model. The record is from RNAcentral.